UACGGAGGGAGCUAGCGUUGUUCGGAAUUACUGGGCGUAAAGCGCACGUAGGCGGCUUUGUAAGUUAGAGGUGAAAGCCUGGAGCUCAACUCCAGAAUUGCCUUUAAGACUGCAUCGCUUGAAUCCAGGAGAGGUGAGUGGAAUUCCGAGUGUAGAGGUGAAAUUCGUAGAUAUUCGGAAGAACACCAGUGGCGAAGGCGGCUCACUGGCCCGGUACUGACGCUGAGGUGCGAAAGCGUGGGGAGCAAACAGG
This 253-nucleotide ribosomal RNA is filed under the name uncultured bacterium. RNAcentral describes it as "partial 16S ribosomal RNA". It matches the Rfam family "Bacterial small subunit ribosomal RNA", at positions 524 to 776 of the family's 1533-position model. The record is from RNAcentral.